Long non-coding RNA from Psammomys obesus (fat sand rat), 1554 nucleotides. RefSeq lists it as uncharacterized. The transcript has 2 exons. The record is from RefSeq and is a predicted model, not a curated record. NCBI's taxonomy places the organism in Eukaryota, Metazoa, Chordata, Mammalia, Rodentia, Muridae.
GCUCUGCCCGCAAGGACGCUCCUCGCCCUGCUCCGUAGGUCACGGCUGGGAAACGUGGGCACCACGGAAGAGGGUGAAGGUGCCCAGUCCCACAAGCAACGAAGGCAAACUCUCUGCCCUCCUUCCCGGCUCUCCGGCCCUCCUCCCGCGAGAGCACACCCAUGGUCUACUCAGAACACUAGGAGACGAACCGCGAAGCCUCACCAUUCCUAGGCUGCCAGCUCCAACAAUUUCUCCGCGGCGACAGCAGGAGCCGCAGGGCCAAAGCCGGCUUCCGUGAGAUACAUCUACUUCCGGGUUACGGACAAGGGGUUGGACAAUCUCUUCCGGUUCGUGAGUGAAAGGGGCGGGGCGGUGGCCACGGAGUCGCGGGAAGCCGGAAGUGAAGUUUUCCCGGUUGGAAAAAGCACGUUGGGAGGCUUUAGGCAUUAGGUAAUUACGGGAACCAGGGAGGCUUGCCGGUCCGAGCGAGUAGCGGGGCCUUGUGGUGAGGCAGCCUAGGCGACGCUGGGAGGAGCGGGACCGCCACGUGAAGUUGAGCUUCGCAUUUGCACUGAGCUUGGAGGGUCUCCCAGGACCAAAUUUUGUAUUGUUUUAUCUGCCGGUGCUUUUAGGUAAAGUAUUCUGACAGGCACUUUGCUAAGCCCAGGCCGGGGAGAAGAUCUUGAAGAGCUUGCUCUAGCUGGGGAGAUGUGCACAGGAAGACUCAUGUCUAAGGAGGGGAUGCUGGAUGGUGAGCGGGUUCCAAAGGAAGCACUUCCAGGGAAGUGGAGGCCCAGUCGGUUACAGCAGAUGGACUCCAUCUAGACUGCCGGGGGGCAGUCGUGGGUAGCUGGGAGACCAACAGAAUCGCUAUUUUGGAAGAAAGAACUGGUUCCCAGGGAACAGGGAACGUCGGCAGUUUGGGGCUUUGAGAGAUGCCUGGGAAACCCAGAGAAACUCGGCUCUAAUGGCUCUGUUUGUUUCAUGCCCCCUUUGAGGACUACAAAAGUGUAGCAGCUCUGACUGGUGAAGCUCCCUGGAAGAGCGUUUGCCUUGUGUGCCUGACAUAAUCGGUGUCAGAUGGACGGCUUGCCCAUGCUCACCCUGACGGUUUACUCUCAGCUUUAAGUCUCCACUUAAUUUACUCUGACGAUCUUAUUUGAUGAGUAUAUACUUGCUUUAUCUCCCCCAAAACAUAAAGUUUUCUAGUACACAGUGUGCUGGUUAGACUUUUUUUUUUUGUCAACGUGACACGAGUCAUUUUCGAAGAGGGAACCUCGAUUGAGAAAAUGCCUACAUCCGAUUGGCCAGUGGGCAAGACUGUGGGCAUUGUCUUGAUUGGAUCGAUGUGGGAGGACUAUGCCUACUGUGGGCAUUAUAACCCCUGGGCAGGUGGUCCUGCUUGGUAAAUGAAGGCAAGAUGAGCAAGCAAAGGAGAGUUUGUCAGUAAAGAGCCAUUCUCCGUCAUUUCUGCCCCAGUGCCUGCCUUGAGGUUUCUGCCCUUCGACAUUCCUUUGUGAUGGAGUGUGACUUAAAAGCUGUAAGAUGAAGUAAACCUUUCUUUCCCAAGUU